GGGCUCGCUCCAGCAGCACAUAUACUAAAGCUGGAAUGAUAGAGACAUUAGCAUGGCCCCGGUGCAAGAAUGGCAUGCAAAUCUGUGAAGUGUCCCAUGCUUUU
This is a small nuclear RNA of Tupaia belangeri (northern tree shrew), 104 nucleotides long. The record is from Ensembl. NCBI's taxonomy places the organism in Eukaryota, Metazoa, Chordata, Mammalia, Scandentia, Tupaiidae.